GUUGGAUUCUGCAUGAAAAUUUUCAAUUUGGAUCUGAUUUAUAUGGAGGCCUUUCAAUAUGAAUGCCUUCUUGGAAAUUAUCCUGUUUCAACUGUCUUAAAGAUGGUCAAUGAGAAAUGUGAGCAUAUUCAAUUAUGUCCUGCCCCUUUCCCUGACAACCACGGUUUCAUUCUCUGUUUCUUUAUAUAUGAACAUGAAAAAUAAAUUCUACAUAUAAAUGAGA
Molecule: non-coding RNA, 223 nt
Organism: Macaca mulatta (Rhesus monkey)
Lineage: Eukaryota; Metazoa; Chordata; Mammalia; Primates; Cercopithecidae
Source: RefSeq, a predicted model, not a curated record